RNAcentral lists this RNase P RNA (377 nucleotides) under bovine gut metagenome. RNAcentral describes it as "Bacterial RNase P class A". It matches the Rfam family "Bacterial RNase P class A". From Rfam's summary of the family: Ribonuclease P (RNase P) is a ubiquitous endoribonuclease, found in archaea, bacteria and eukarya as well as chloroplasts and mitochondria. Its best characterised activity is the generation of mature 5'-ends of tRNAs by cleaving the 5'-leader elements of precursor-tRNAs. The record is from RNAcentral.
CUGGGCGGACGGCCGCCCGGCCUCCGGGCCGGGAGGAAAGUCCAGACACCACAGGGCAGGGAUUCCGUCUGAAAGGGCGGAUGUCGCGGGGCGACCCCGCGGCCAGGAGAGCGCCACAGAGACCAGACCGCCGGCUUCGGCCGGCAAGGGUGAAAAGGCGGGGCAAGAGCCCGCCGCGCGGCCUGGCGACAGGCCGUGGCGAACCACCGGCCCACGGGCCGGGGCGGCAAGCCCAUCCCGGUGCAAGACCAAAUAGGGGACGAGGCGCGGCCCGCGCCGACAAGCCGGUCCGCCGGCAGUCCCGGGUAUCGGUCGCGUCAGAUGAAUGGCCGUCGGGCGCAUUGCGCGCCGCACAGAAUCUGGCUUACAGCCCAGGC